RNAcentral lists this ribosomal RNA (112 nucleotides) under Caerostris darwini. The record is from RNAcentral. Lineage: Eukaryota; Metazoa; Arthropoda; Arachnida; Araneae; Araneidae.
AACGGCUGUACCGUGCUGAAUAUACCGGUUCUCGUUAGAUCACCGAAGUUAAGCAUCAUUGGGCGCGGUCAGUACUUGGGUGGGUGACCACCUGGGAACAUUGCGUGCCGUU